AAUGGAUGUAAGCCCUAAACAAUUUAUACUGGUGAGAGUUUGCAUGUCUCCAUUAGUAAGCGUUUCAAUUCCAAAAUAUACAUGGAUUAAAGAGGGUAGAUACUGUCAUAUUUUAUUCAAGGGAAUUGAAAGAACCAAAGAAUAAGCUGCAUACAUUAUUUCACAAUAAAUAUAGCUCCUUUAUAAAAUCAUCAUUUUUGCUUCUUCUAUUUUGAUCCACUAGGUCAUUUGCAACCCAACCUCAAGAAGUCUAAUUUUGACCAAGAAUCUGUCAAGUGGUAUUGUAUUGUUGAUGCAAAAGAAGCCAACAAGUUCAACAAUUUCUUUUGACUAAAACUCUUCUAGAACCUUGUAACUUCGCUAUCAAGAGGAUCCCUUUGACCCUUCCUUGACCUUGUGGAUUUUUCUGAGUGCUUUGGCCAGUAUAAUAUGGCAAAAAUGAUGCAUUUGAAUUCUGAGAUUGUGUCAUGAAAAAGUCAUUAAGUUCCACUUCAUUUUUCUUAGGAUGAUUUUUCUUUGAAUCCGGCAACCAUUCUGAGAGGAAAGUUAAAACAGUCCAUGCAGAAAGGCCACAUGAAAUGGCUAGAUGUGGUUGCUAGGGAUGACAAUUUGGCUGAGGUUCCAGCUGCCAGCAUACAUCAAGUUUCAGAUAUGAGAUUGAAGAUGUCUCCAGACUAUUUGAGUUCCAUGUUGUUGAGUCACAUCACGGAGCAGAGAAAGAUUAUGCCAUCUGUCCAAACUCCUGAUUUAAAAAAACUCAUGGCAAUAAUAAAAUUUUAAUAUAUACUA
This is a non-coding RNA of Macaca mulatta (Rhesus monkey), 789 nucleotides long. The record is from RefSeq and is a predicted model, not a curated record. Lineage: Eukaryota; Metazoa; Chordata; Mammalia; Primates; Cercopithecidae.